Maniola jurtina (meadow brown) is the source of this 1590-nucleotide long non-coding RNA. RefSeq lists it as uncharacterized. The record is from RefSeq and is a predicted model, not a curated record. The transcript has 3 exons. NCBI's taxonomy places the organism in Eukaryota, Metazoa, Arthropoda, Insecta, Lepidoptera, Nymphalidae.
UUUACUUGAAAGGGUCCAGUUUAAGAAAUUAGCUCUAGUAUCAAAUAAUUUGUGAGUUAUAGUCGAUACUUAAGCUAAUUUCUUAAACUGGACCCUUGGAAGCGUCGAAUUUAUGAUAUUUUGUCAGCUGAAUAAAGAUUGCAGUAUUUUUCCUGGUAGUGUAUAUUGUAAGGAUGUGGAAUGUUUUCAAUUUACGAAUGGCAAAGUCCAGCACUCCGGUCGUAUUAUGCAUAUUCUAGGUAUAAUUUUAUUUAGUCAUUGUAUAAACUAAGUUCGAUUUGUGCGAGAAAAACAAUUAAUUAUGAAUAUUAUUUAAUCGGCUCCGUUCCUAUAGUGAUGCCACAAUAUUUUCCUAUGUUCAUUUGUAUUUAUAACGCCUAUAGAAAUAUAGUUUUAGUGGGUGAUACUUAUAUUAUGUACUUGCAAUAACUGAGGCGAUGCUAAUUCCGAUACGAUAAUGUAAAAGAAAAUGGUGGUCUAAGAAUGAUAUAUGAUUCGUUAAGGGUUCAUUCAUUAAUUACGUCACAACUUUAUGACGUCACAUUCAUAUUGACUUUUCAACCGUCGUUCAUAAUGUGGAAUUAUGAAAAAGAAUAUCCAAACUGCACUUCAUUAUUACUUAUAUAACAAAGUUUGAGGACUUCAAUUAAUUGUGAAGACAGCCUUGAAUAUAUACUUUUGACGUUUGCUAUAUAGAAAAAUGCAAAAAAAAAUUGAGGUUCACUUAAUUUUUUAAACGAAUGUGAGUCUUAAAAUGUAACAUAAUCAAUGAAUCGUACCCGAUUGACGUAUAAAGUUAUAUAUAACGUGCAAUAAUUUUAUUUCUAUGUAUUUAAAUUCAUUACAAUAGUUUUAAAAAUUAUAGUUUGUUUCAAUCGGAGUCCAGUUAAGGCUACGUAACCCUAAAAGACUGAUUGAAACAUCAUGUCGUGUGCUCGGCCCAUGUCAAUUUCUAUUGUAACUAUCCCGUUGACAAGUGUAUGGGAAUAUUAUUUUUGCUGCCCAUACGCUCUGUGCGCUUGCUGUGAAGGCAAAUCGAGUAGUACAAUCUGAAGUUGCAACCAUGGCGGUUUGCCCAGGUGAUAAAUCUAAGAUCAUGAUAUGGAUAGAGCACUCCCAAUAUUUACUCGAAUCAAAUACCUACUUAUCGCUAUCCCACUCUGACUGUCAAGCGAGAGCGAGAACAGAUACCACUGGGGUCCGACCUGUCGCUCUAAUUUGUUAGUCGAUCGUAUUUGCUUCAAGUAGGUAUUAAGAGCGCGCGUGAUCCACUUUUACAAUACAUUCAUGGCUGAAAUUUGUUUUUGUACAAUGCACCUGUUCAGAUUGGGCUACUUGUUUUGCGCGCACUAUGUCCUUUAGAAACCACGCAAAGUACAAACUUCGAUCGGUCGACCGUAUAGUGCCCGGCAAACAACUUGAGCAUUGACGCGAUUGGCUGGCGGGUGCACGCGAUUGGUUGAUCAGUCGGCGCGAGUGCACGCGAUUGGUUGAUACGUCGACUUCGCUUCCCGGAUUCGCUAACUUUCUCCCAAUACGCUACUUCAGGUCCAAAUUGUUUGCAGGGCACUAUACAUCGCAAGAAUCGCU